CCGCGCACUAGUCCUGCAGACUCUGGAUCAGACAGAGGCUCAGAUCGCAUCGGGCCGGCCGCUGGAGCCAUGUGUUCGGAGAGGACAGGAGCGGCACUGGUCUCCACGGUCGUCUGUCUCAGCCUGUGCUGCUGAUUCAAGCAGCUUGUGCUCCACCACAGACUGUGUUUCCCAUGGUGUGUCUGAAUCUCUGCUGUUCUUCCUGUGGUGGACAUGCAGCUGCUGUGGAGUUGUUCUCAAACUGAUGGUUUGAGACACAAAGCCACAACCUCAGCCCUGGCUCUCUUUUAUGAAGUUCUGUUGUGCUGCAGUGUCUGCUGUUGAUGGAUAGUGUGCUGCUCUGGCUUUAGCUGCAGUGUACGGCACUGGCUUCUGAAGGUAUAUUUCAGAUAACUCGAUAUUUGUCAGACCCUUCACCUUGGUUGACCACC
Long non-coding RNA from Cyprinus carpio carpio, 431 nucleotides. NCBI's taxonomy places the organism in Eukaryota, Metazoa, Chordata, Actinopteri, Cypriniformes, Cyprinidae. The record is from Ensembl.